Molecule: non-coding RNA, 121 nt
Filed under: Paraphysomonas imperforata
Lineage: Eukaryota; Chrysophyceae; Chromulinales; Paraphysomonadaceae
Source: RNAcentral
GAUGCACUUUGCGCUCAGCGGUGGCAGCUUGUGAGUUGCUCUUGAUAUCACCCACAUCUCCAGGACGCUGCUCGGUUCACCUCCCUGUAGCAGGGCGACUUAUUUUGGAGCCAAGCCUGAA